Scleropages formosus (Asian bonytongue) is the source of this 1150-nucleotide long non-coding RNA. RefSeq lists it as uncharacterized. The record is from RefSeq and is a predicted model, not a curated record. The transcript has 3 exons. NCBI's taxonomy places the organism in Eukaryota, Metazoa, Chordata, Actinopteri, Osteoglossiformes, Osteoglossidae.
GUACGCCGUUCACUCUCGAGCACGCGACGUGAUAUUCGUAAGCUGUUCAACAGAAAGCGUACUUAAUACGUGUGCUGCUCUCCUUCUUCCAGAUACAUUAUGAAGGUCACGAGGAGCCAAAAGCAACGACCGGCGCACAGCUGCGUAUCUAGUUUUGAAAAGGAAAUGCGUCGGCUGCACGUUUUUUCCCCCAGACUCUGCUCCUACAUUUCUCGUUCUCACACUUUUUUGGUUCACUUUCAUAAAGUACUCCCCCCUCCCCCAUCUACUUCCCAGAUGACAUCUUAAAAUGCUGAAAGUAGUUUGUAAAAGCUUUUUCAAAACGCUUUCACUCAAAGUGAGCAAAGGCUUUGUCUGCCCAUCGUGCCUUCGUCUGCAGCCAUUGGCGUUCGUUAGAUCCACGUGGGGCCUGGUGAACAUCUGCCUUCUGUCAGCAUCAGCAGCACAUCUGCCUUGGCAACUACACCUUCUGCUGGCUUUAAAAACACACAGUUAUCACCGUCUUGGCUGCAAGUUAAGAGCACAGCCUGCACCGAAAGGUGGCAGAGGAGCCCCACCAGCCUGGAAAAGCGCCUGUUGCGAAAGCUCAUCGCUGAUCCUCGGUGUGACUUUAGGACCCACGCGGGACCGGCCCAGCGGAGGCCCAUUCAGAAACGACCCACUGAUGAAAAGCAUUCCGUUGGCUCCACCGAGUUUCCUGUAGGAUCGCCCGAUCGCCUUUGCUGCGCAUUUUCGCCACCGCCAUUUCCCCACCUGAACGGGCGCGUCCGGCACGGGACACCAUGGCCCCUCGCGAGCUGCCGCUCUUCGCCCUGCUGCUCGUCUGCGUCGCGUGCUCAGGUACGUUUCCUGCAACCGCACUUUCCUUCUGCGCCUCUUUGCUUUGCGCCGAAGGCACGAGCACAGGAUCCGGCGAAGGACUGCUCCUUUCGAAGUCUAAGAAAAGACAGACGGCAAAACAAAGCGGUCGUCUCCGCAAUCCCACCGUGGCUCCUUGGCCCGAGGACAGAGCGGGGCAGUAGUGCGGGGUAGUCACCGUCAGCCCUCGCCCACAGUUGAGGAGAUGCCCUGCUUUCUUUUAUUGAGCAAGGGUUUUUUUUAUUUAAAAAUCAUCUUCACCCCCCCUUUCCCUUCUGGAAACUGGGAAGUU